GGGGGUGUAGCUCAGUGGUAGAGCAUUUGACUGCAGAUCAAGUGGUUCCUUGGUCAAAUCCAGGUGUCCCCU
Molecule: transfer RNA, 72 nt
Filed under: Pangasianodon gigas (Mekong giant catfish)
Lineage: Eukaryota; Metazoa; Chordata; Actinopteri; Siluriformes; Pangasiidae
Description: tRNA-Cys
Rfam family: tRNA
About the family: Transfer RNA (tRNA) molecules are approximately 80 nucleotides in length. Their secondary structure includes four short double-helical elements and three loops (D, anti-codon, and T loops). Further hydrogen bonds mediate the characteristic L-shaped molecular structure. tRNAs have two regions of fundamental functional importance: the anti-codon, which is responsible for specific mRNA codon recognition, and the 3' end, to which the tRNAs corresponding amino acid is attached (by aminoacyl-tRNA synthetases). tRNAs cope with the degeneracy of the genetic code in two manners: having more than one tRNA (with a specific anti-codon) for a particular amino acid; and 'wobble' base-pairing, i.e. permitting non-standard base-pairing at the 3rd anti-codon position.
Source: RNAcentral